Gossypium raimondii (Peruvian cotton) is the source of this 211-nucleotide long non-coding RNA. RefSeq lists it as uncharacterized. The transcript has 3 exons. NCBI's taxonomy places the organism in Eukaryota, Viridiplantae, Streptophyta, Magnoliopsida, Malvales, Malvaceae. The record is from RefSeq and is a predicted model, not a curated record.
UUGGAAAAAGCAGCAGGCAAAAAAAGAAAUUCACUCACACAGCCGGGUCGAAAAGUUUUGCUUGUGUAGCUGAGGCCGAGGAACUGUCGUCCGGUCAAAAAGUUGGACGCCUUCAACUUUUUAAGAUUACACAUAGGAAGAAAGAUGGAUCUCCUAUGACUCCUGAAGCUGCAGAAAUUAUGGAAAAACUAAAGGAUAAAAAGGCAGAGUA